RNAcentral lists this ribosomal RNA (253 nucleotides) under uncultured bacterium. Its description in RNAcentral is "partial 16S ribosomal RNA". It matches the Rfam family "Bacterial small subunit ribosomal RNA", at positions 524 to 776 of the family's 1533-position model. The record is from RNAcentral.
GACAGAGGGUGCAAACGUUGUUCGGAAUUAUUGGGCGUAAAGCGCGUGUAGGCGGUGAUGCAUGUCGGGUGUGAAAGCCCCCAGCUCAACUGGGGAAGUGCGCCCGAAACUGCAUCGCUAGAGUGUCGGAGAGGGUGGCGGAAUUCCCGGUGUAGAGGUGAAAUUCGUAGAUAUCGGGAGGAACACCAGUGGCGAAGGCGGCUCACUGGGUCUCUUCUGACGCUGAGGAACGAAAGCUAGGGGAGCAAACGGG